This 74-nucleotide transfer RNA is filed under the name bacterium. RNAcentral describes it as "tRNA-Arg". It matches the Rfam family "tRNA". From Rfam's summary of the family: Transfer RNA (tRNA) molecules are approximately 80 nucleotides in length. The record is from RNAcentral. RNAcentral also lists the same sequence under 1 other name.
ACCCCUGUAGCUCAGUUGGAUAGAGCAACGGUUUCCUAAACCGUAGGCCGCGAGUUCGAGUCUCGCCGGGGGUA